GCAGGGGGUGGCAGUGCCUAUUGCAUCUCUGCUUUUGGAAAAGAUUAGAACUUCCUGACAACACAGCCAUACUGCAGUUCCCACAGCAGAUCUCAGAAAAUAUGCUCUCCAUGAGAGUUAUUCAUAUAACUAUUUUCAGCCGGAACCAGACAUUAUCAAGGAGAGUGCAAGAGAUUAAUCAAAAGGAAUGAAGAAGCUGGACGAAUGAACUUCAGUGUGUUAUCACUCUUUUGGGUCUUCCUUGGUGCUGUGUUUGACACGUCUCAGCCUCUGGAAGAUCCUUUUUUUAAGCCCUUUAUGGAUGGCUGCACAAGCUACCUGCUUUGCCUACAGCUGAGCAAGUUCUUUCCCGAUUAUGUCUAUCUGGAUCUUUCCUGCUUGUUGGCAAACAUAAGUGAAUUAGGAGGCAAACAUCUUUUGGAAGCUAACGAAAAAGCACUGUUCUGAGAGAAGAGAGACUUUAUGCACAAGGAUGAAGAAAGGAAAAAAAAAAAAAAAAAAACAAAACCCAAAACAGAGAGCGGUUUUACUGUUUUACUAAAGAAGACCAGAAACCUGAAAAGUUGUUGUCUGAGGAACAACCAGAAGAGAACUGUUCCACUUUUGCUUGCAGCCAGUGCCUCGAUCAACAGCACUAUCAAGUUUUCACAGAAACCACCAAUCAGGCAAUUUUUUCUAUGUUGAAGUUAGUUGCUAGAAGAAGUUUAAUAUCUUUUUAAGAUAGUGGCUUCAAACAGCAGGGAGAGAUAGAGACAGACAGAGACUGUAGAACAGCAAAAGGCCAUCUUGCCAUUCAAAAUGACCUUCACAUGCAGAGUGUAUGGGAAAUAUCUAUGCAUAGUAUUGUGAAACUUUUCUAUUGUACUUGCAACACCAGUGACUAGAAAAAGAUGCAAAAAGUAGAUAACCCAAAUUCACUUAAAAAAUCUUAGCAGAACAGUGAAUUAUAUUUUACAAUUUCACACUAACAUAAUUAAAUAGGGGAUGGGAGAAUAGCGAAAACAAGGCAAUGAAACUGAGAACAGACUGCAUGGUGAUUUAGAGAAGUUCCCUAGGCAACACUAGCCAGCAGAUCUGCAAUGUUUUAUUGGUAAUAAGGAUCCUUACUUAGAUUCGAUAUCACAAUGAUCACACAUGAUGUUUUGGGUGCACUAUACAGUGCUGCACUUCAGUGCAAAUAAAAGCUAGCAAAGAAUGUGGAACUCUGGGUCUGGCUGUGGCACCUUGUGCUCUGUGGGGUGUUUCAAGGCCGAUGCAUUCCUUCCAUUACAUUAAGGACAACAUGGUGGGGAAAGGAAGAAAAAAGACUGUAAUAGAUAUUUUUCACAAGAAGUUUGACUGAAAAGCUGUGUGGAUAGAUGGGAUCUCAAUUAUGCAAACCUACAAAGGGUAAUUUAAUCUGGUUUCUUUGUGGUGUGGUGCGUAUAUUGUUUUUAUCUUUCCAUUAAAAAUGCAGUGUGGCACAGCUGUACGGCACAAAGCCAAGGUGCCAAGUCCUGCUGAGACCAUUACAUCAUGAUUAGCCAUAAUGUGUAAAGAAGACAGAUUUACUCAGUUAUACAACACUUUUGGCAUCAAUUCAGCUACUUGUGUUCCGUGUGCAUUCAUCGAAAAUUGUUUAAUACUCACCUCUGAGAUCAUUGUGCCAGUUUCAUGCCUAUAGAUAAAGUAUAAGCCUUGCUUGGAUCAUGGCUCAUAACAGUGGACUGCCCAUAAUUUGGUCUAAUUAGAAAGUGAAGUGAUCACUGGCCCCAGUGAUUAAAAGUUAUUUUUUAUGUAAAUUAAGAAUUACAGCCUCUGACAUGUAGCUCAGCCAUGCACAUUAUUCUUUGUCAUUUAUCCAAACGUACUUUUAA
This is a long non-coding RNA of Cuculus canorus (common cuckoo), 1856 nucleotides long. RefSeq lists it as uncharacterized. NCBI's taxonomy places the organism in Eukaryota, Metazoa, Chordata, Aves, Cuculiformes, Cuculidae. The transcript is spliced from 5 exons. The record is from RefSeq and is a predicted model, not a curated record.